CAUACGGGAGGCAGCAGUGAGGAAUAUUGGUCAAUGGACGCAAGUCUGAACCAGCCAUGCCGCGUGCGGGAAGACGGCUCUAUGAGUUGUAAACUUCUUUUGUCCGAGGGUAAACGCAGAUACGCGUAUCUGUCUGAAAGUAUCGUACGAAUUAGGAUCGGCUAACUCCGUGCCAGCAGCCGCGGUAAUACGGAGGAUUCCAGCGUUAUCCGGAUUUAUUGGGUUUAAAGGGUGCGUAGGCGGUCGGAUAAGUUCGAGGUGAAAUUCCGAGGCUCAACUCCGGAAUUGCCUCUGAUACUGGGCGGCUAGAGAGUAGUUGCGGUAGGCGGAAUGUAUGGUGUAGCGGUGAAAUGCUUAGAGAUCAUACAGAACACCGAUUGCGAAGGCAGCUUACCAGGCUACUUCUGACGUUGAGGCACGAAAGCGUGGGGAGCAAACAGGAUUAGAUACCCCUGGUAGUC
This 461-nucleotide ribosomal RNA is filed under the name uncultured bacterium. RNAcentral describes it as "partial 16S ribosomal RNA". It matches the Rfam family "Bacterial small subunit ribosomal RNA", at positions 338 to 795 of the family's 1533-position model. The record is from RNAcentral.